Molecule: long non-coding RNA, 484 nt
Filed under: Elaeis guineensis (African oil palm)
Lineage: Eukaryota; Viridiplantae; Streptophyta; Magnoliopsida; Arecales; Arecaceae
Description: long non-coding RNA (EGUI_LNC076915)
Source: RNAcentral
GCCCAAUUGCUCAAUCAGAUUGAGCCAAUUAGCAAUUCAAUUGCUAAUGAUCCUCCUGCAACACUUGCAUUAGGUCAAACAUCAAUCACAUUGAUUGUUUAAGCUUAGAACGAUUCUCAAUCGUCGAUUAACUAUCUGAUUAGGUUACAAUCUCUUAUGUGUAUGACCCUAUAGGUUCAAACCUAAGCUGGUAGCACAGGAACCAAUUCUUGUACCAGUCGAACUAACCAUCUAGCAAUGGUUCCCGACGUCCGGAUAGGUCGAAUGUAUGCAAAGCAACAUUCUAAGAACCCUGACCCAUGGUUACUGUUGCGGCCAAUCGCCUCGUCGCCCGAUCGUCGGGGAACGUGCACCUGCAAAAAUGAGAAGUCCACACUGACCGGAGGCGGCUCCGACAGGGACCCUCCGACGGUCAAGUCAGAGAGGUGACUGGGCAACAGUGAAAUAAAGACAGAGAGCUCGAUCAAGAGAGAGAUGGGAGAGG